This is a long non-coding RNA of Gadus chalcogrammus (walleye pollock), 453 nucleotides long. RefSeq lists it as uncharacterized. The transcript is spliced from 3 exons. The record is from RefSeq and is a predicted model, not a curated record. Lineage: Eukaryota; Metazoa; Chordata; Actinopteri; Gadiformes; Gadidae.
UCACUGGAGUUGUAGUGGCAGGCUCACAGGCGUACUACAGUUGCUCGCCACCUCAACCAUGGCUUUAAUAAUGAGGGUACUUCAAUUGUCUCUACUCCUUGAUGUGGGCUGUCAAGUACAUGCUUACAGAAUCGGAUAUGCUGAGCCGGAGAUGCCUACGUAUGGGCUGCAGCAGCAAGCAGCAGCAACAUCCUAGCUACAAGCCCCAGCAGCAUCCUAGCUACAAGCCCCAGCCACAGCCGCAGCAUCCAAGCUACAAGCAUCCUAGCUACAAGCCCAAGCAGCAGCAUUCUCCUAGUCACAAGCAGUAACUCAGAAGUUGAGAAGUUUGCAUUCUGUACCUUUGCUUCAUUGAAAAUUCCAUCAAAUCCUUCAACGAUAUAAAGUUCUCAAUUGUGUUCCUGCCAUGACAUGGUUCUACUAUCCAAAUUUGACAAAAUAAUAAAAAUAUCA